UAGGGAAUCUUGGGCAAUGGGGGGAACCCUGACCGAGCAACGCCGCGUGAGUGAAGAAGGCUUUCGGAUCGUAAAGCGCUGUUGUUAGGGAAGAACGAGUGUGAGAAUGGAAAGUUCAUACAGUACGGGUACUUAACCAGAAAGGGAGGGCAAACUAGGUGCCAGCAGCCGCGGUAAUACGUAGGUGCCGGGGGUUGUCCGGAUUUAUUGGGCGUAAAGCGAGCGCAGGCGGUUAGAUAAGUCUGAAGUUAAAGGCACUGGCUCAACCAUUGUAUGCUUUUGAAACUGUUUAACUUGAGUGCAGAAGGGGUGAGUGGAAUUCCAUGUGUAGCGGUGAAAUGCGUAGAUAUAUGGAGGAACACCAGUGGCGAAAGCGGCUCUCUGGUCUGUAACUGACGCUGAGGCUCGAAAGCGUGGGGAGCGAACAGG
This 429-nucleotide ribosomal RNA is filed under the name Bacteroidota bacterium. RNAcentral describes it as "Bacteroidetes bacterium partial 16S ribosomal RNA". It matches the Rfam family "Bacterial small subunit ribosomal RNA", at positions 355 to 776 of the family's 1533-position model. Lineage: Bacteria; Pseudomonadati; Bacteroidota. The record is from RNAcentral.